UACAGAGGUCUCAAGCGUUGUUCGGAUUCAUUGGGCGUAAAGGGUGCGUAGGCGGCGCGGUAAGUCGGGUGUGAAAUCUCGGAGCUUAACUCCGAAACUGCAUUCCAUACUGCGGUGCUUGAGGACUGGAGAGGAGACUGGAAUUUACGGUGUAGCAGUGAAAUGCGUAGAGAUCGUAAGGAAGACCAGUGGCGAAGGCGGGUCUCUGGACAGUUCCUGACGCUGAGGCACGAAGGCCAGGGGAGCAAACGGG
RNAcentral lists this ribosomal RNA (253 nucleotides) under uncultured bacterium. RNAcentral describes it as "partial 16S ribosomal RNA". It matches the Rfam family "Bacterial small subunit ribosomal RNA", at positions 524 to 776 of the family's 1533-position model. The record is from RNAcentral.